Molecule: ribosomal RNA, 497 nt
Filed under: uncultured bacterium
Lineage: Bacteria
Description: partial 16S ribosomal RNA
Rfam family: Bacterial small subunit ribosomal RNA
Source: RNAcentral
GACGAACGCUGGCGGCGUGCCUAAUGCAUGCAAGUCGAACGAGCGGACGUCGGGAGGUCUGCGCCGAUGGUAGCGGCGGACGGGACGGUAACACGUGGAUGACCUAGACAUCAGACCGGGAGAAGUGCGGAAAACGGAUACUCACACAGGAGAAAAGUGUGAGCAGUAAGGUGCAAAGGAAUAAGACGGUGGUGCAUUCGGUAGUUGAUGUAUCCGCGCCGCACUAGCUCGGUGGUAGGGUAACGGCUUACCAAGGCAACGAUGCAUAGCCGACCUGAGAGGGUGAUCGGCCACACUGGAACUGAGACACGGUCCAGACUCCUACGGGAGGCAGCAGUAGGGAAUCUUCCGCAAUGGGCGAAAGCCUGACGGAGCAGCGCCGCGUGAGUGAUGAAGGUCUUCGGAUCGUAAAACUCUGUUAUUAGGGAAGAACAUAUGUGUAAGUAACUGUGCACAUCUUGACGGUACCUAAUCAGAAAGCCACGGCUAACUACGUG